GACGAACGCUGGCGGCGUGCUUAACACAUGCAAGUCGAACGGAAAGGCCCUGCUUGCAGGGUACUCGAGUGGCGAACGGGUGAGUAACACGUGGGUGAUCUGCCCUGCACUUCGGGAUAAGCUUGGGAAACUGGGUCUAAUACCGGAUAGGACCGCACUUUAGUGUGUGUGGUGGAAAGUUUUUUCGGUGUAGGAUGAGCUCGCGGCCUAUCAGCUUGUUGGUGGGGUAAUGGCCUACCAAGGCGGCGACGGGUAGCCGGCCUGAGAGGGUGUACGGCCACAUAGAGACUGAGAGACGGCACAGACACGUACGGGAGGGAGAAGUGGGGAAUAUUGAAGAAUGGGCGCAAGCCUGAUGCAGCGACGCCGCGGGGGGGAUGAAUGCCUUCGGGUUGUAAAAUCCUUUCGCAAGGGACUAAGCUUUUUGUGACGGUACCUAGAUAAGAAGCACCGGCUAACUACGUG
Molecule: ribosomal RNA, 465 nt
Filed under: uncultured bacterium
Lineage: Bacteria
Description: partial 16S ribosomal RNA
Rfam family: Bacterial small subunit ribosomal RNA
Source: RNAcentral